GUCUUUUAUUAUAGAUUUCAUUGAUACAGUCAAACAAUACAAGCGUAAAUGUACAAUGGGGAAUAAUAGUGACUGAACCCUACUAAACCCCAGAGUAAAUGUUGAGCUCAAGGCUCAAUGAUUUGUUAAUGAUCCUUCCGCAGGUUCACCUACGGAAA
Molecule: unclassified non-coding RNA, 158 nt
Filed under: uncultured fungus
Lineage: Eukaryota; Fungi
Description: sequence contains ITS1
Source: RNAcentral